This 391-nucleotide unclassified non-coding RNA is filed under the name soil metagenome. Its description in RNAcentral is "partial contains 5.8S ribosomal RNA, internal transcribed spacer 2, and large subunit ribosomal RNA". The stretch from base 1 to 122 matches the Rfam family "5.8S ribosomal RNA", at positions 35 to 154 of the family's 154-position model. The record is from RNAcentral.
GAUGAAGAACGUAGCGAAAUGCGAUACUUGGUGUGAAUUGCAGAAUCCCGUGAACCAUCGAGUCUUUGAACGCAAGUUGCGCCCGAAGCCACUAGGCCGAGGGCACGCCUGCCUGGGCGUCACACGCCGUUGCCCCCCCAUCUACUCCUUCGGGAUUGCGGGGGGGCGGAUGAUGGCCUCCUGUGCGCCUAGCCGCGCGGUUGGCAUAAAUACCAAGUCCUCGGCGACGCACGCAACGACAAUCGGUGGUUGCGAAACCUCGGUUGCCCGUCGUGUGCGUUCGUCGCGCAUCGAGGGCUCGAAAAAAUGCUCGGCUCCGGCUGGGCUUUCAACGCGACCCCAGGUCAGGCGGGGUUACCCGCUGAAUUUAAGCAUAUCAAUAAGCGGAGGA